Molecule: non-coding RNA, 266 nt
Organism: Mus caroli (Ryukyu mouse)
Lineage: Eukaryota; Metazoa; Chordata; Mammalia; Rodentia; Muridae
Source: RefSeq, a predicted model, not a curated record
GGAACUCACGGAGGAGAGGACCCCCGUUCAGCUGGGGCGCCCAGAUCAGGUGGAGUUUUGCAGCAGGAAGAAGUCUGCUCCAUGAGCCAACCUCCAAGAAUAGAACACCUCAAAGUUCAAUUGGAAAAUGAAGUCAUUGAAGUUAUCGAAGUCAUUGGUGGGCGAUUUUAGGUGACAUUCUGGUAUACUGGGUCCCUGCAGAAAAGAAAAUGCCACCAUGGCUUGUGCUUCUCCCCUGUUGCUGAGAUCUGUGGCUGAAAGGAGAU